RNAcentral lists this ribosomal RNA (1202 nucleotides) under Porphyromonas endodontalis. Its description in RNAcentral is "bacterial SSU rRNA". The stretch from base 1 to 813 matches the Rfam family "Bacterial small subunit ribosomal RNA". Lineage: Bacteria; Pseudomonadati; Bacteroidota; Bacteroidia; Bacteroidales; Porphyromonadaceae. The record is from RNAcentral.
GAUGAACGCUAGCGAUAGGCUUAACACAUGCAAGUCGAGGGGCAGCAUUAUUUUAGCUUGCUAAGAUAGAUGGCGACCGGCGCACGGGUGCGUAACGCGUAUGCAACCUGCCUGUAAUUAGGGAAUAACCCGGUGAAAGUCGGACUAAUACCCUAUAUUCAUCUUUCUCCGCAUGGAGAGGGAUGGAAAGAUUUAUUGAUUACAGAUGGGCAUGCGUCCCAUUAGCUUGUUGGUAAGGUAACGGCUUACCAAGGCAACGAUGGGUAGGGGGACUGAGAGGUUGACCCCCCACACUGGUACUGAGACACGGACCAGACUCCUACGGGAGGCAGCAGUGAGGAAUAUUGGUCAAUGGGCGAGAGCCUGAACCAGCCAAGUCGCGUGAAGGACGACGGUUCUAUGGAUUGUAAACUUCUUUUGUAGAGGAAUAAUGGCAGCUACGUGUAGCUGAGAUGCAUGUACUCUACGAAUAAGUAUCGGCUAACUCCGUGCCAGCAGCCGCGGUAAUACGGAGGAUACGAGCGUUAUCCGGAAUUAUUGGGUUUAAAGGGUGCGUAGGUGGCGUAUUGAGUCAGUGGUGAAAAGCUGCAGCUCAACUGUAGUCUUGCCGUUGAAACUGAUAUGCUAGAGAGGAGACGAGGUAUGCGGAAUGUGUGGUGUAGCGGUGAAAUGCAUAGAUAUCACACAGAACGCCGAUUGCGAAGGCAGCGUACCAGGCUCCGUCUGACACUGAAGCACGAAAGCGUGGGGGAUCAAACAGGAUUAUAUACCCUGGUAGUCCAAGGGCGAAUUCCACAGUGGAUAUCAAGCUUUAUCGAUACCGUCAACCUCGAGGGGAGGGCCCCGGUACCCAGCUUUUGUUCCCUUUGUGAGGGGUUAUUUAUUGCUGUGUUUGUUUUUUUUAUUUUGUUUGUUGUGUUUGUUGUUGUGCGCUGUUCUGUUGUGUUGUUGCAUGUCUUUGUGUUUUUAUUUGGUGUGUUGCUUUGUUGUGUGUGAUGGUUUGUGUGUUGUUGGCUGUGUGUGUGUGUGGUGGUGUGGUGUGUUGUUGUUUGUGUGUUUUGUGUUUGUGUGGUGAAUGGUGAGGUGGUGUUGUGGAGUGUGUUGCCAGAUGUAGCUGGUGUGGUGUUUUGUUAUGAUUGUUAGUUAUGAUGUAUGUGUGUGCUGUUUAUGUGGAAUAUAGUAUGUAAAUGUGUGAUGUAGUC